Anopheles maculipalpis is the source of this 93-nucleotide small nucleolar RNA. RefSeq annotates it as small nucleolar RNA Me28S-Gm3255. NCBI's taxonomy places the organism in Eukaryota, Metazoa, Arthropoda, Insecta, Diptera, Culicidae. The record is from RefSeq and is a predicted model, not a curated record. The transcript has a single exon.
UUUCAUGUGAUGAUCACAAAAGCCAACAAUCUUUUCUGACUCCUCUAAUGAAUUGUAUAUGAUUCAAAUUAGCUUAUGUAAAAUACUGAAAAA